This 1481-nucleotide ribosomal RNA is filed under the name uncultured marine bacterium. RNAcentral's name for it is "16S ribosomal RNA". It matches the Rfam family "Bacterial small subunit ribosomal RNA". The record is from RNAcentral.
GAGUUUGAUCCUGGCUCAGAAUGAACGCUAGCGGCAGGCUUAACACAUGCAAGUCGAGGGGUAACAUGUAAUCUUGCUUCCGCUGACCACCGGACCACGGAUGCAUAACGCGUAUGCUACCUACCUCAUAGUGAAAAAUAGCCCUUGCAAACGAGGAUUAAUGCUCCCUACUAUCACAAAAUUCACAUCUUUCUGUGAUUAAAGAAUUUCCGUAUGAAAUGGGCAUGCGACCCAUUAGCUUGUUGGUGAGGUGACCGCUCACCAAAGCAACUAUGGCUAGGGUGACUGAAAGAUUGACCCCCUUCACUGUGACUGACACACCGAACACACUCCUACGGGAGGCAUGAGUAAUGAAUAUUGAUGAAUGCAAGCCACUCUGACCCAUCCAUGCCGCGUGAAGGAUGACUGCCCUAUGGGUUGUAAACUUCUUUUAUAUGGAAAGAAACUUAUCUACAUGUAAAUAACUGAAUGUACCCUACAAAUAAAGAUCCGCUAACUUCGUGGCAGCAACCGCCGUAAUACCGAAGAUCCCAGCCUUAUCUCGAUUCUUUGGGUUUAAAGGGUCCCUAAGCUGGUCUGUAAGUCAGUAUUGAAAGCCGAUGGCUUAACUGUCGAACUGGCAUUGAUACUGAAUACCUUGAGUACAGAUGAAGUGAGCUAGAUGACUCAUGUAGCGGUGAAAUGCAUAGAUUGACUCAGACUACGAUUGCGAAGCAGCUUACUACAUGUAACUGACACUGAGUGAUANAGCCUGGGUGCGAUCACGAUUAGAUACCCUGGUAGUACACGCAGUAAACGAUCAUCACUGGCUGUUGUGUAUAUAGUGUCAGCGACCAAGUGAAAGUUUUAAGUGAUGCACAUGGGGAGUACGCCGGCAAUGAUGAAACUCAAAGGAAUUGACGAGGACCGGCACAAGCGGUGGAGCAUGUGGUUUAAUUGGGUGAUACCUGAGGAACUUUACCAGGGCUUAAAUGUAGUUGGACCGAGUGAGAAAUAGGCGUUCUCUUGAGAGCAAAUUACAAGGUGCGUCAUGAUCGUGGUCAGCUAGUUCUUUGAGGUAUUAGGUUAAGUCGUGCAACGAGCGCAAUCCUUAUUCAUAGUUUCGAUCGGUUAGGCUGGGGAGUCUAAGAAGAAUACCAGGGCGAAAGGUGAGGAAGGUGGGGAUGUACGUCAAAUCAUCACGAGCAGGACGUCAUGGGCUACACACGGGGUGCAAUAGUAGAGACAGAGGGCAGCCACCGGGUGACAGGGAGAAAAUCCUUAAACUGUAUGUCAGUUAGUAUGGAAGUCGGCAACUUGAAUUCGUGAAGCGGGAAUCGCUAGUAAUCGCGCAUCAGCCAUGACGCGGUGAAUAGGUUUCGCGGCACCUUGUACACUCCCCCCGUCAAACCAUGGAAGCUGGGGGCACAUGAAUUCGGUAACGGUAAGGGAGCCGCCCAGGGUGAAACUGGUAACUAGGGCUAAGUCGUAACAAGGUAACC